UCCAGACUCCUACGGGAGGCAGCAGUGGGGGAUAUUGCACAAUGGGGGGAACCCUGAUGCAGCGACGCCGCGUGGGUGAAGGAGCGUUUCGGCGCGUAAAGCCCUAUCGGCAGGGAAGAAGGAGGACGGUACCUGACUAAGAAGCCCCGGCUAACUACGUGCCAGCAGCCGCGGUAAUACGUAGGGGGCAAGCGUUAUCCGGAUUUACUGGGUGUAAAGGGGGCGCAGACGGCAGCGCAAGCCAGGAGUGAAAGCCCGGGGCCCAACCCCGGGACUGCUCUUGGAACUGCGCGGCUGGAGUGCAGGAGGGGCAGGCGGAAUUCCUGGUGUAGCGGUGAAAUGCGUAGAUAUCAGGAGGAACACCAGUGGCGAAGGCGGCCUGCUGGACUGCGACUGACGUUGAGGCCCGAAAGCGUGGGGAGCAAACAGGAUUAGAUACCCUAGUA
RNAcentral lists this ribosomal RNA (446 nucleotides) under uncultured bacterium. Its description in RNAcentral is "bacterial SSU rRNA". It matches the Rfam family "Bacterial small subunit ribosomal RNA", at positions 330 to 792 of the family's 1533-position model. The record is from RNAcentral.